GACGAACGCUGGCGGCGUGCUUAACACAUGCAAGUCGAACGGAAAGGCCCUGCUUGCAGGGUCCUCGAGUGGCGAACGGGUGAGUAACACGUGGGUGAUCUGCCCUGCACUUCGGGAUAAGCCUGGGAAACUGGGUCUAAUACCGGAUAGGAGCCAUUUUUAGUGUGAUGGUUGGAAAGUUUUUUUCGGUGUAGGAUGAGCUCGCGGCCUAUCAGCUUGUUGGUGGGGUAAUGGCCUACCAAGGCGGCGACGGGUAGCCGGCCUGAGAGGGUGGACGGCCACAUAGGGACUGAGAUACGGCCAAGACUCCUACGGGAGGAAGCAGUGGGGAAUAUUGCACAAUGGGCGCAAGCCUGAUGCAGCGACGCCGCGUGGGGGAUGACGGCCUUAGGGUUGUAAACUCCUUUCGCUAGGGACGAAGAUUUUUGUGACGGUACCUAGAUAAGAAGCACCGGCUAACUACGU
Molecule: ribosomal RNA, 465 nt
Filed under: uncultured bacterium
Lineage: Bacteria
Description: partial 16S ribosomal RNA
Rfam family: Bacterial small subunit ribosomal RNA
Source: RNAcentral